This 390-nucleotide ribosomal RNA is filed under the name uncultured bacterium. Its description in RNAcentral is "bacterial SSU rRNA". It matches the Rfam family "Bacterial small subunit ribosomal RNA", at positions 28 to 417 of the family's 1533-position model. The record is from RNAcentral.
GACGAACGCUGGCGGCGUGCUUAACACAUGCAAGUGGAGCGACGAACCGGGCUUCGGCCCGGGGCAAAGCCGCGAACGGGUGAGUAACACGUGGGUGACCUGCCCUUAGCUCUGGGAUAAGCCUGGGAAACUGGGUCUAAUACCGGAUAUGACCUCAUGACGCAUGUUGUGGGGUGGAAAGCCUUGUGCGGCUAGGGAUGGGCCCGCGGCCUAUCAGCUUGUUGGUGGGGUGANGGCCUACCAAGGCGACGACGGGUAGCCGGCCUGAGAGGGCGACCGGCCACACUGGGACUGAGACACGGCCCAGACUCCUACGGGAGGCAGCAGUGGGGAAUCUUGCGCAAUGGGCGAAAGCCUGACGCAGCGACGCCGCGUGAGGGAUGACGGCCU